GAUGAAGAACGUAGCGAAAUGCGAUAAGUAAUGUGAAUUGCAGAAUUCAGUGAAUCAUCGAAUCUUUGAACGCACAUUGCGCCCCUUGGUAUCCCGAGGGGCAUGCCUGUUCGAGCGUCAUUUCACCACUCAAGCCUGGCUUGGUGUUGGGCGACGUCCUCUUUGGGGACGCGCCUCGAAACGCUCGGCGGCGUGGCACCGGCUUUAAGCGUAGCAGAAUCUUUCGCUUUGGAAGUCGGGGCCCCGUCUGCCGGAAGACCUGCUCGCAAGGUUGACCUCGGAUCAGGCAGGGAUACCCGCUGAACUUAAGCAUAUCAAUAAGCGGGGA
This 328-nucleotide unclassified non-coding RNA is filed under the name soil metagenome. RNAcentral's name for it is "partial contains 5.8S ribosomal RNA, internal transcribed spacer 2, and large subunit ribosomal RNA". The stretch from base 1 to 120 matches the Rfam family "5.8S ribosomal RNA", at positions 35 to 154 of the family's 154-position model. The record is from RNAcentral.